This 280-nucleotide long non-coding RNA is filed under the name Panax ginseng (ginseng). RNAcentral describes it as "long non-coding RNA (PGIN_LNC009170)". The record is from RNAcentral. Lineage: Eukaryota; Viridiplantae; Streptophyta; Magnoliopsida; Apiales; Araliaceae.
GCUAUGUUAUGAAUAGUAAGGAGGUGGGUGAUUGAGGAGGUGGAAUAAGGAGGUGGGAUGGUGUAAUGAUAAUUUUACCCUAGCUUUGAGUGGCCUAUAAAUUCCAAGCCUCAUUUCAUUUUGGUUGCUUGAUCAAAUUUCAUCCAACUCCUCUCAAGAUAAGCUACUUAUUUGGUAGAGAGAAUAAGCCACUUAAGCACUCAUAAGCCACUUCAACCUUUGUUAGAUUUUCCAAAGUGAAUUGAAGUCAUAGUCUUCAAAGGUAAGACUCAUAUCUAUU